Mangifera indica (mango) is the source of this 1835-nucleotide RNA transcript. It is a transcript of the gene named ATP-dependent (S)-NAD(P)H-hydrate dehydratase, with no coding region annotated. Lineage: Eukaryota; Viridiplantae; Streptophyta; Magnoliopsida; Sapindales; Anacardiaceae. The record is from RefSeq and is a predicted model, not a curated record. The transcript has 12 exons.
UGGGUGUGAUCAUAAAACUGUGGAUGUGCUUGUACUUUGUGGUCCUCAAAACCUUGAGCGGAAAAUUAUUUUUUCCGAAUACCGUCCAAUAUGAGGUGACCCAGAUGUUUCCUUUAACAAUUGACUAGAAUCGCAAGUUAAAAGGCUUUGAGGUUGCAGGGUGUGUUGAAAGAUAAGUGCUUGUCCAUGUUAAUUAUAUAUGGCGAAUCAAGUCUGGGUUAAAUUCACUGUGUAGUGCACAAUAUCGUAUGUGGGUUUCUUCUGUUUUGAGAAGACAAAAUUUCUUGAUAAGGUGUCUUGGAGGUUGCAGUGAUCACUUUCACACCAAUCAUAAAACAAUGCAAGCAAUGAAGACCAUGAGUGCAUCCCCAUUGGAGGCUGAUUCUGAAAACAUUUUGAGAGCAAUCACUCCGACCCUUGAUCCUAGUAGACACAAGGGCCAGGCUGGGAAAAUAGCUGUGAUCGGUGGAUGUCGUGAGUACACGGGUGCUCCGUAUUUUGCAGCUAUUUCAGCCUUGAAAAUUGGUGCAGAUCUGUCUCAUGUAUUCUGUACCAAAGAUGCUGCUCCAGUCAUAAAAGGCUACAGCCCUGAAUUGAUAGUGCACCCAAUUUUGGAAGAGUCAUACAGCAUUAGUGGAUUGGGGGAUGAAGAGAGAAGCUCCAUCUCAAGCAACAUACUUGUUGAGGUUGAUAAAUGGAUGGAAAGAUUUGAUUGUCUUGUCGUUGGUCCAGGCCUUGGAAGGGAUCCAUUUCUUCUGGAAUGUGUUAGUGAAAUCCUGAAGUGUGCAAGGCAGUCAAAUGUUCCAAUUGUCAUAGACGGGGAUGGACUCUUUCUUGUAACUAACAGUCCUGAUCUUGUUAGUGGUUAUCACUUAGCUGUUUUAACUCCAAAUGUGAAUGAAUACAAGCGUCUAGUUCAGAAAGUACUCAGUUGUGAAGUAAAUGAUAAAGAUGCACCCAAGCAGUUACAAUCUCUUGUCAAGGGCAUUGGUGGAGUCACUAUUUUACAGAAAGGAAAGUCUGAUCUUAUUAGUGAUGGUGAGAUAGGAAACCUUAAAAGUCUUUUGAUAUCAACCGGUGAUGAUUUAUGCAGUCAAAUCGGUGAGCAUCUAUGGUUCCCCUCGGCGCUGUGGUGGCCAAGGUGAUAUUCUAUCGGGAAGUGUUGCUGUGUUUUUAUCUUGGGCCCGAGCCAAAGAAAAAUUUGCCAAGAGUCAAAUAAAUCCGACUGUGUUGGGUUGCAUUGCUGGGUCUUUUUUACUGAGAAAGGCAGCUUCUCUUGCUUUUGAACAUAAGAAAAGAUCAACUCUCACAACUGACAUCAUUGAGUACCUGGGGAAAAGUUUGGAGGAUAUUUGUCCAGCCUGCUGAUAGAAUGAGAAGCAGAAAUGAAACUGCUGGCGCAUUUCUGGAUGAUGUUAACUGUUUAAGCGUCUGUGCCGGAACUAUUGCUUCCAAGUCAUGUACAACAAGUAGUAAUAAUCUUGAUGUUUCUUUGCAGCUUUGAUGAAAUGUAGAGGAUUUUGAUGGAUGGGGAGAAUGCUUUUGCUUUUGGGGGAGAUUCCCACAGUUAUAUAUGAAGAGUAAAAUAAAAAAAUAAAUUGUCAGAUAGGCAGAAACUUGGUUUGUGUCACCUAAUACAUUCUGAAAACCUUUGGCCUUCUGUCAAUUUCUGUGGAAGUUUCCUUGUGAGACUCAGAUUUUGUUUCCAUGAAGCUUUAAAAUUUAUGAGCUUUGAUGUUGUUUCGGCAAAGAAAUUCGAUGCAGUCCCAAGUAUUUAUUCAUCAAUAAAACUAUGUACACUAUGUUUUUGUAAAUCUAAUUAAGUAUUCAAAUUA